GGAAGUGCCGAGGCCUCCGGUGCUGUCUUCUCCGCCGCCGCUUUUAAGUCCCUUCGUUCGCCGCCUGGGUGCCGCGGGGGCCGCCGCCGAGGAAGCUGCUGUGGCCCCGACGGGAGCGGAGGCGGCGCGGCAUGAAGCGGCGUAGGCCCGCUCCAUAGCGCAUCGGGACGGUCCGGGCGGGCCCGGGGGAAGGUGCAGUAUCCGCCCGCUCUCCCUCCCCUGCGCCCGCGAGGCCACGGCGCUCCGGCCGGCCGCCCUCGGGCCGCUCCCGCAGGGAGAGCGGGCGGCUGGGCCCCGUUGGCCGGAAGAGGAAGCGCACACUCUGAUUGCGAGGCCGCCAACGUUCGCUAGGCGCCCCUGAACGCUGGCUGCUGCCCGCUCGGACUCGCACGUCCGUUAUCUUGAUAGAGCCUGGCUCGGGUUGGGAUGCCGGGGACGGUCCGGGCUUACGGAGGAGGAAACGGAAAUCCGCAGAGGCGAAGGGGUUCGCCUGAGGAUUGGAUGGUGAGAAAAGGAAAGAUUCCUGUGAGAAGAGAUCAGGAUGAACGGAGAGAUCUGUGCUUAAAGUUGGGCCAGGUGAAAAUGAUCUCUUUGAAAGUAGAGAUCUGAGCAGAUGAAAAUACCAUCAGGAAGAUGCAACAUGGCAGCAGCAAUGGAAACAGAGCAGCUGGGUGUCGAGAUAUUUGAAACUGCAGAGUGUGAGGAGGGAAAUGGUGAAUCACAGGAUCGACCCAAACUGGAGCCUUUUUAUGUCGAACGGUAUUCUUGGAGUCAGCUGAAAAAGCUGCUCACUGAUACCAGAAAAUAUCAUGGCUACAUGAUGGCUAAGGCGCCACAUGACUUUAUGUUUGUGAAGAGGGCGGAUCCAGAUGGACCUCACUCAGACAGGGUCUACUAUCUGGCCAUGUCUGGUGAGAACAGAGAAAAUACACUAUUUUAUUCUGAAAUCCCUAAAACCAUCAACAGAGCAGCAGUCUUAAUGCUUUCUUGGAAGCCUCUUUUGGAUCUUUUUCAGGCAACACUAGACUAUGGGAUGUAUUCUCGAGAGGAAGAGCUACUCAGAGAAAGAAAGCGCAUCGGGACUGUGGGGAUCGCAGCUUAUGAUUACCACCCGGGAAGUGGGACAUUCCUGUUUCAAGCUGGCAGCGGCAUUUACCACAUCAAAGAUGGAGGACCACAUGGGUUCACACAACAGCCUUUACGGCCCAAUUUAGUGGAAACUAGUUGUCCCAAUAUACGAAUGGAUCCAAAGUUAUGCCCCGCUGAUCCAGACUGGAUAGCUUUCAUUCACAGCAAUGAUAUUUGGAUAUCGAACCUCGUAACCAGGGAAGAACGGAGGCUCACCUAUGUGCACAAUGAGCUAGCCAGCAUGGAAGAGGAUCCCAGGUCAGCCGGGGUUGCCACCUUUGUUCUUCAAGAAGAAUUUGACAGAUAUUCUGGCUACUGGUGGUGUCCACAAGCCGAAAGAACUCCUAGUGGUGGUAAAAUUCUUAGAAUUCUCUAUGAAGAAAACGAUGAAUCUGAGGUGGAGAUUAUUCAUGUUACAUCCCCCAUGUUGGAAACAAGAAGGGCAGAUUCCUUCCGGUACCCUAAAACAGGCACAGCAAACCCAAAGGUCACUUUCAAGAUGUCCGAGAUAGUUGUUGAUGCUGAAGGAGGGAUUAUAGAUGUCAUAGAUAAAGAACUGGUUCAACCUUUCGAGAUUCUGUUUGAAGGAGUUGAAUAUAUUGCCAGAGCUGGAUGGACUCCAGAGGGAAAAUAUGCCUGGUCCAUCCUUCUAGACCGUUCCCAGACUCACCUGCAGAUAGUUCUGAUCUCCCCUGAGUUAUUCAUCCCGGUAGAAGAUGAUGCCAUGGACAGACAGAGACUCAUAGAGUCAGUUCCUGACUCCGUGACACCGCUGAUCAUCUAUGAAGAAACAACAGACAUCUGGAUAAACAUCCACGAUAUCUUUCAUGUUUUUCCUCAAACUCAUGAAGAUGAAAUUGAGUUUAUUUUUGCCUCUGAAUGCAAAACAGGUUUUCGUCAUCUGUAUAAAAUCACAUCCAUUUUAAAGGAGAGCAAAUACAAACGGUCCAGUGGUGGACUCCCUGCCCCAAGUGAUUUCAAGUGUCCCAUCAAAGAGGAAAUAGCAAUCACCAGUGGUGAAUGGGAAGUACUUGGCCGUCAUGGAUCUAACAUCUGGGUUGAUGAAGCCAGAAAGCUGGUGUACUUUGAAGGCACCAAAGACUCUCCUUUGGAACAUCAUCUGUACGUGACCAGUUAUGCAAACCCUGGCGACGUGCACUGUGACUUCUUCAUAAGUAAGUACAGCAACCAGAAGAGUCCACACUGCGUGUCCCUCUACAAACUCUCAAGUCCUGACGAUGACCCAGUUCAUAAAACAAAGGAAUUUUGGGCCACCAUUUUGGAUUCAGCAGGUCCUCUUCCUGACUACACCCCUCCAGAAAUUUUUUCUUUUGAAAGUACUACUGGAUUUACACUGUACGGAAUGCUGUAUAAGCCUCAUGACCUACAACCUGGAAAGAAAUACCCCACUGUGCUCUUCAUAUAUGGUGGCCCCCAGUAAACUCAGCUUCCUGGUGCUCGCCGUGUCUCCCCGUCUCCUGCUCUGUAUGCUGUCACGUAACUUCACUGACGAUGUGCUUCUCUUCCAGGUGCAGCUGGUGAACAAUCGGUUUAAAGGAGUCAAGUAUUUCCGCCUGAACACCCUGGCCUCCCUGGGUUACGUGGUUGUGGUGAUAGACAACAGGGGAUCGUGUCACCGGGGGCUUAAAUUUGAAGGCGCCUUUAAAUAUAAAAUGGGCCAAAUAGAAAUUGAUGAUCAGGUGGAAGGACUCCAGUACCUAGCCUCUCAGUAUGACUUCAUCGACUUGGAUCGUGUGGGCAUCCAUGGCUGGUCCUAUGGUGGCUACCUCUCCCUGAUGGCACUAAUGCAGAGGUCGGAUAUCUUCCGGGUUGCUAUUGCCGGGGCCCCAGUCACUCUGUGGAUCUUCUAUGAUACGGGAUACACGGAGCGCUAUAUGGGUCACCCUGACCAGAAUGAACAGGGCUAUUACUUAGGAUCUGUGGCCAUGCAAGCGGAGAAGUUCCCCUCAGAACCAAACCGCUUACUCCUCUUACACGGGUUCUUGGAUGAGAAUGUUCACUUUGCACACACCAGUAUAUUGCUGAGCUUUUUAGUGAGGGCUGGAAAGCCGUAUGACUUACAGAUCUACCCUCAGGAGAGGCACAGCAUCCGGGUUCCCGAGUCUGGAGAGCACUAUGAACUGCACCUACUGCACUACCUUCAGGAGAACCUUGGAUCGCGCAUCGCUGCUCUGAAAGUGAUGUAACUCUGACUCGUGUAGAACCUGCGUACACCGUCUAACCACACAAGGAGGGUUAGCCAAUAGAGAAGCCAGAGUUGACGAUCCCACUUUUAUACCCGCCACAUAAGAUCUACUUCUGAAAGUAAAUUUGGUGCCAUGCAGAAAUCUGCAGCUCAUGGAUAGUAAUCUAACACCUUAACCAUGCACAGAGAACUGAGUGACGUGUUCCCAAGACAGUGCAGUGCCUGAGGGUACGGAACGCAGCACCAGCGCCACACACAGACCAGCCUGCGUCCACUUUAGCAGUGUCAGCCUUGGGACUUAACUAGUGGAUUUGACAGUGUACCCUGAGUUUGUUCAAAUAUGAUGAUAGUAGUGAUUGAUUUGGUUCAGUUCCAGGAUCUCUGACUAGUUAUGGAUUUGAUAGCACUUACGUCUGAUUGAAUAGCUUAUGCUUCCUCACUUGGGUUGUAUCCAGCAUGUCAUGAACUAAAUACUACUAAGCUUAUGACUUUCCUAGUCAUUAAUAAUUUUUCAAGGAUAACUUAGUGGCCUCCUGAAGAUACUUACUUAGGCUCUGACCAAUUUUUUUUAACCAAUUUAAACAGCAUCUAGUAUAAGUAAAUGUCCUUUUUCUUUGAUGAUGUGGGGUUUUCUUUCACAUAAGGCGAGUAACUAUGCAGCAUGAGUUUAAUCACAAGUCUCAAGAUAUUGACAAUUAGAGGCAAAAAUUUUUUAAUCAGAUUAUUUGAAAGCUUGAAAAUUAGCAGGCAAGUUUUUUCUCCUUUUAGGAACAGAACAUGUACACAUUUACUUGUAUUCUGAAAAUAUAAUGGUGCCGUUUCCAUUUGGCCUUUCCUUAAUUAAUGUGUUCCCGAGUUCCCAGGAGGUGAAAGGAUUACAGUGGGAAGGGGGAGGCCUGGUGCAGGGAAUGACCAGGAGAGACCAGGUCGCAAGGCUCUGCUUAAGAACUGAGCAGAAAUAGUUGGCCAGGAACACUGGUGAGAGAGACCAGAGUAAAUGUCAGUGUAGCUGGGGACCAGAGCUAGGAUGCCACGCUUUGCCACCACAGCUACAGGGCCAGCAUUCGGAGCGGUUACUUUUACAAUUCCAGCUUUUUGUUAUUUUUCCUUUUAACUUUAAAAAACUUACAAAUCUAAACUUUACCUUUUUUUUUUAUUUGAAUGUAAUUUAGAUAUCACUAGCUUAAAAUAAAAAGGUUUCCAGACUACUUCUUUGCCAUAGAUAAUCCCUGACAAACCAUGGCACUCUGUGUUGGAAGCCUAUCAACAGUUGUGUUACUCAGCCAUAACCUUCUCCUGCUUCAGCCUUCCUGCUUGACUCUGAAGGGGUGCAUGAACUUUCAAAUGCAGCUGGCAUCUGCACUAUGGCCUUCCAGUAUUAGAUGGGUCCCACUGCAGCCAGACACCUGUGGGUUUGACCCUCAUUAAUCACAAACCCCAGUGUUUGGACAGUUACCAUAACUUAAAAAUCACUCUAAGAAAAACCGCUGUGUUUCUUUCUCACUGCCACAUCAGGUCCCUUUUCAAGAAAGCACAGUGAAGACAGGGACUGCCAGAGUAGAGAUGGGUGACCAUGGGGUUCUGUCCUGGGAAGGGAGGGCUGGGUUUUGCUGGCUGUGUAUUUAUACUGUAUGAUAGAUCCCACACUUUUAUUGUCUAUCUAUUUUGACUUUAAUGCUUAUGACAUUUUCUCGUGCCAAAAUUUGUUUAUAUUUUUCAAGUUAAAUUAAACUGAUUUGGGUAACUUUCCUUCCCCUACAAAGUAUUUCCCCCCUGACUUACGUCUAUUUUGGCUGUUGAGAGUGGCAUUUGCAGGACUAACUAACCUCCAAGAGCUGCUCCUUACAUUCGAGGUAGGCAUGACAUGAAGUAGCUCCCAGCCACCCACUUGAAAUCUCUCACCCUUACAUUUGCUUUGUACUGAGACAUCUCUUAUUUUAAGUAGACAAAACAUAGAAAACCUCGAUUGUCCCAGAUUCUUUCUGCCUUCUCUCUGGCUGUCACAGGCGUGCAUCUACAACUGUCCUUUAAAUGCCCUCCUACUUCUCCAAGAGGGUAAGUGCUUGACUGACUUACAGAAAGAAAGGUGACUUGACCAGGUUUGCUUGUCAACAUCAGUGACAAAGGCAUCAGUCAGUUGGAGCAAUCAGAAACCGCAUUUGUCCUCUGUCUGGAGGUCAGUGAAAAGAGGCACAAGUCCCUGAAAGUACAAGUUUAGUGGAAGCCAGGACACACUCAUUAAGGACCAAAGUGUGGGGUUUUCACAGGCUCGAUAGCAAGAGCUACUGUACGUCCAGAACAGCAGGACUCUUAAGUUCAUCCAGGACCAGUCUUGAAGCUGCUCUCAGAGGAAUGAGCUCAUCAGUUUGGGAGGAGACCCAGAGUGCAUAUUUCCAGCACAGUGAGCUCCCUGGGCACUUCUCGUCAGGUCUGCAGUCUGCUUUAGUAAACUGUAAGUGUGCAGUUGCAGCCUUACAUGGUGACCUACACGGUGGCUGACAGCAGUCAGGGAAAGGCCUCAGCCGUGAUGCCUGUUGACCUCUUGCAGAAGCAGAGCAAAGCACUCUUCAUGCCCUUAGUCUGAAAAUGUAUUUGGUCAAGAUGACUUUUCCCAUUCCUGGCCCCUCUAAAGCCUCACACAGAAAGACAAAGCCACGCUGCACGCUUGUUCCCUUUAAAAUCAUGAGCCACAGGUAUGCGUGCAUGGAGGUUCUUCCUGCCUUUACAGUUCUCUCUGCUGGUGGGAGGAGUCCAGUCUUUAACAUAACCCAGUGCCCUGCUAGGGGGAAAAAGCCUGUGUUCUAGAGAGAAAGAAACAUGCCCAAUAUCCACAGUUAGUACUCAGAACCAGGGUCCAACUUUGGCCUGCCUCAUGGUGGCUAUGUGAUAUUUAAGAAAGGUAGGGUUUUUAAAGAAGUAUUUAUUAAUAUAUUCCUAUAUAACAUUUUAAAGGAAGCCACAUAAAAAUAGUUAAUUUUUUCCUUCUAAGUAAAUGCUAAGCAUGCUUAUUAACGAAGCAGUACCGAUGAGUAUGUGGCAUUCUGAAGCUAAUUGAAAUCAUUCUAUUAAAUGUCUUCCUUGGUGUCAUGGGAGAUAGGGACACAGAAUGUUUGCAUAAGCCCAGGAACCCAUCUUCCAUGAUGUGAGACAAGAGCCUCAGCCAGGUCUACACUCUGCAUGUGAGAGCAUCCUCUCCUAGCACGUGGAAGGAACUGGAAACAUCCCGACUGUGGCCUUCCCAGCCCCACCCCUCCUCUCCUACCUGCCCUCCCUGCUGUUCCAGAAGCCCCUUGCAGACACAGAAGCUGUGUUUGUGUGUUUGGUUUUAAGUAACCCUAAUACAGAUUUAUGCUGUUUUCAGCAAACUGGGAUUUGGGGCUGGUGGGGUCUUUAAGUUUAGCACAUAAAGUGCCUGCUGUUUCAGCACCGACCUGAGCAUAAUCUGCAUGUCUGUCUCCAGUGAGCGUACGGGUCUCCUCCUUUUCAGCCCCACGGCUUUUAAUUGUGUGGUGUGAAGCAUUAGUUUUGCUGCGUUUUAUUACAGGUUCUUGGUUGCAAUAAAGAUGCUGCUGAAAUCAA
RNA transcript from Rattus norvegicus (Norway rat), 6913 nucleotides. It is a transcript of the gene named dipeptidylpeptidase 8, with no coding region annotated. NCBI's taxonomy places the organism in Eukaryota, Metazoa, Chordata, Mammalia, Rodentia, Muridae. The record is from RefSeq and is marked validated. The transcript has 21 exons.